UAGCUGCGAUACGUGAUGUGAAUUGCAGAAUUCGUGAAUCAUCGAAUCUUUGAACGCAUACUGCGCUUUUGGGUGACCAGAAGCAUGUCUGCUUGAGUGUCAUUUAUACAUCUUCACCUAAAAAAAAUUCUCCUUCUUCCCCGGAAGCUGGAGCGACUUUUCUAAGGUGGAUAUGCAAGUCUUUCUUUGCCUCUGGGUAAAACAAAGUCUUGUGAAAGCUAUUGGAAACAAAAAAAAUUUAAUAAGAGAGAAUGGUUUCCUUUCUCCCUCUAUUUUUUUUCCCCUUUCCUCUCAUGUAAUGAGGUAGAAUUUUACAACAUUACAGCUACGAGUUGGGAUAGAGAAGCUCAUAAAAAAAAGAGGUUGGUUACCUUCCCCCUUUUCAAUAUUUGACCUCAAGUCAGACAAGACUACCCGCUGAACUUAA
This 427-nucleotide unclassified non-coding RNA is filed under the name uncultured Candida. Its description in RNAcentral is "sequence contains ITS1". The stretch from base 1 to 102 matches the Rfam family "5.8S ribosomal RNA", at positions 50 to 154 of the family's 154-position model. The record is from RNAcentral. Lineage: Eukaryota; Fungi; Ascomycota; Saccharomycetes; Saccharomycetales.